This 368-nucleotide long non-coding RNA is filed under the name Ananas comosus (pineapple). Its description in RNAcentral is "long non-coding RNA (ACOM_LNC005540)". Lineage: Eukaryota; Viridiplantae; Streptophyta; Magnoliopsida; Poales; Bromeliaceae. The record is from RNAcentral.
AUCAAAUGCAAGCAAUGCAUGAAAUACCAUCUAGCAACAAGCCUACUAUCAUGCUAGUAUACUUCAACAAUGUAAUGAAUACGAAUACAACAUAGUUAUGCAAUCCACUAACAUAUACUAUGUCUAAUCAGGGUAUGAAUGCAAAUCCACUUAUGCUAUUCAUGUCAUUACCCAAUCCACUAGGCUACCCUGCCUAAGAUAUCAAAUCUCAUAGGUACUCACACCACAAAUCUAGUAGGUGAAGAGGUGAAGAGCUACCCCGCUCUUCGCCCCGACUGAUAUCUCAAAUCUCAUAGGUGAGGAGCUACCCCGCUCUUAUCUCACCCGUCUCACAUCUCAAAGGUAAUAAAUGAAGAGCUACCCCGCUC